AUGCUGGCGGCGUGCCUAACACAUGCAAGUCGAGCGGCAGCGAGUUUUACACUGAAUUCUGGAAGCUUCUGGGUAAUAUAGAAGAUCUAUUCAAGAAUUUUGUGUAAAAUGUCGGCGAGCGGCGGACGGCUGAGUAACGCGUAGGAAUUUGCCCCAAAGUGAGGAAUAACUGCCCGAAAGGGUAGCUAAUGCCGCAUAUGGUCUUCGGAUUAAAGCCUUCGGGCGCUUUGGGAGAAGCCUGCGUUGGAUUAGGUAGUUGGUAGGGUAAUGGCCUACCAAGCCGACGAUCCAUAGCUGGUCUGAGAGGAUGAUCAGCCAGACUGGAACUGAGACACGGUCCAGACUCCUACGGGAGGCAGCAGUGAGGAAUCUUCCACAAUGGGCGAAAGCCUGAUGGAGCAACGCCGCGUGAAGGAUGAAGGCCUUCGGGUUGUAAACUUCUUUUAUGAGUGAAGAAUAUGACGGUAACUCAUGAAUAAGCACCGGCUAACUACGUGCCAGCAGCCGCGGUCAUACGUAGGGUGCAAGCAUUAUCCGGAGUGACUGGGCGUAAAGAGUUGCGUAGGCGGUUUAAUAAGUGAAUAGUGAAACCUGGUGGCUCAACCAUACAGACUAUUAUUCAAACUGUUAAACUCGAGAAUGGUAGAGGUAACUGGAAUUUCUAGUGUAGGAGUGAAAUCCGUAGAUAUUAGAAGGAACACCGAUGGCGUAGGCAGGUUACUGGGCCAUUUCUGACGCUAAGGCACGAAAGCGUGGGGAGCGAACCGGAUUAGAUACCCGGGUAGUCCACGCCGUAAACGAUGGAUACUAGCUGUUGGAGGUAUCGACCCCUUCAGUAGCGAAGCUAACGCGUUAAGUAUCCCGCCUGUGGAGUGCGGCCGCAAGGCUAAAACAUAAAGGAAUUGACGGGG
This 911-nucleotide ribosomal RNA is filed under the name uncultured bacterium. RNAcentral describes it as "bacterial SSU rRNA". It matches the Rfam family "Bacterial small subunit ribosomal RNA", at positions 33 to 918 of the family's 1533-position model. The record is from RNAcentral.